GAGGGUAUAGCUCAGUGGUAGAGUGCAUGCUUAGCAGGCACAAGGUUCUGGGUUCAAUUCCCAGUACCUCCA
RNAcentral lists this transfer RNA (72 nucleotides) under Camelus bactrianus (Bactrian camel). It matches the Rfam family "tRNA". Rfam says of the family: Transfer RNA (tRNA) molecules are approximately 80 nucleotides in length. Their secondary structure includes four short double-helical elements and three loops (D, anti-codon, and T loops). Lineage: Eukaryota; Metazoa; Chordata; Mammalia; Artiodactyla; Camelidae. RNAcentral also lists the same sequence under 2 other names. The record is from Rfam by way of RNAcentral.